GGGGUUUAAGUAAGGUAACGGCAAGGGUUGUGUGAUGUGGAUCAACUAGCAAGGUUGGGAAGAAGGAAGUUGGAUGUUUGUUUGGGUGUUGGAUGAGUUUUGGAAGAAAAGGGUGAGGGUUUUGAUUUGAGACAAGAGCACUGAUUAGAGGACAUACAACACGAUCUACAUUGGAGGUACCAGGUUAUUUAUGGUGUCGCUUGGAGCAUCCUGUUUGCUGGUC
Molecule: long non-coding RNA, 223 nt
Organism: Zingiber officinale
Lineage: Eukaryota; Viridiplantae; Streptophyta; Magnoliopsida; Zingiberales; Zingiberaceae
Exons: 5
Source: RefSeq, a predicted model, not a curated record